UGAGGAAUNUGGUCAAUGGGCGAGAGCCUGAACCAGCCAAGUAGCGUGCAGGAUGACGGCCCUAUGGGUUGUAAACUGCUUUUGUAUGGGGAUAAAGUCAGUCACGUGUGAUUGUUUGCAGGUACCAUACGAAUAAGGACCGGCUAAUUCCGUGCCAGCAGCCGCGGUAAUACGGAAGGUCCGGGCGUUAUCCGGAUUUAUUGGGUUUAAAGGGAGCGUAGGCUGGAGAUUAAGUGUGUUGUGAAAUGUAGACGCUCAACGUCUGACUUGCAGCGCAUACUGGUUUCCUUGAGUACGCACAACGUUGGCGGAAUUCGUCGUGUAGCGGUGAAAUGCUUAGAUAUGACGAAGAACUCCGAUUGCGAAGGCAGCUGACGGGAGCGCAACUGACGCUGAAGCUCGAAGGUGCGGGUAUCGAACAGGAUUAGAUACCCUGGUAGUCCGCACAGUAAACGAUGGAUGCCCGCUGUUGGUACCUGGUAUCAGCGGCUAAGUGAAAGCAUUAAGCAUCCCACCUGGGGAGUACGCCGGCAACGGUG
This 539-nucleotide ribosomal RNA is filed under the name uncultured bacterium. Its description in RNAcentral is "bacterial SSU rRNA". It matches the Rfam family "Bacterial small subunit ribosomal RNA", at positions 355 to 896 of the family's 1533-position model. The record is from RNAcentral.